AAAUGAAUACCUUAAUAAAAUGUUUUUUUUAAAUCGUGAAACGGGAUGAAAGUUUCUAGGACAUCACAGUAAAAGGGUCAUUAAGUAUUUAGGUGUAUUUGAAACACUGCAGGUUGAAAAAUUGAUGUUUGCUCAAAAAUAUUUGUUGAAAUUGAAUUCAUGACAGAUUUCAUGUUGCAAAAUAUGAAAUCUGGGCUUGGAGCUGCAGGACAAUGCAGCUCAGUCAACUUAUGAUCUUUAGCUGUAUUGGAACAAUGACCGAUAAAAAGAUUAAUACAGAAACGUAAUUUGGCUCAUUUACAGUCUUGUCUGAGGAUUAGCAGCAUCAACAUGCUGGGAUUGAACAGUUUCAGUCCUGAAGCUCCUUGUGUACGUAAUUAGCAUCACACCUAAAUUUACAGUAACUGUCAGAGCAAUGUUUACAUUUAUAAUCUCUAAUUGACUCAACAUCUGAUUAACAGCAAAAACAACAGUUUUUUGCAUAAUGGGAUAUAAAAGUAUAUCCAAGGUUCAGGAAACAGGUCAGGCUAACUGGUGCACAGCGAACCUGCGACUGAUUUUAUGUUUACAUUUAAAAGUCUUGUUCUUAUUUUCUCUGAUGAAACUUUGAGAACAUGGAGUGAAACUGUCUGCGCGUCCAGUUCAGUGUGUCAGUAACAACCAACAGAACUAAGACAAAAUGCUGCUGCAUUUCUGAGAUCAUUUAUCUUUUCCAGAUGCAUUUCGCUCCCAUUACUUCCGGGUUCAUUGAAAGGUCACGCGGAUAAUGACGUUAACGUCAAACGUCAGUCUGACUUUUACCGUAAUAAACCGUGUGAGCGGAGCUAAUUUUAGCAGAGAGCUAACCUCCGCCGUUUUGACUGACGCCGCUGCCGGCCUGCAGCUCCCAUCCCCGAUGAAGAAGCUUCAUUAACUCUCCCGCUGCUGCUCCGUGGACAGAAACCCGACAAAACGCGAAGGACGGCGCUCCGACUGCCGCCAUUGUACCGGAGAGAAGCACGAGUCUGCGCACUGGGGUCAGAGGCUGGACCCGCCAAUCACGGAGUAGAACACCCGGAAGUCCCGCCCACAUUACGUUUUGUUGCUGCCAUGUUCUGAGUGGCAUUUUCUUCACAAUAGAAGCUGAAUUUGUAGCACAUUUCUUUUCAAGCUGUUUAUUCCGUGAUGCAUUUGCAACAUAGAACUCUCUUUCACAUGAAGUAUAUUUUUAAUAUAUCGAAUAAUUAAAUUAACUUUAAUGUGAUGAAAUAAGCUAAGUUUUACAUAUGCCCAGUAAAAGUUAAACAUUUCUAAACCACCAUUGAUUCAAAAGGUGAAUUUUAGAUUUCAUUUAGACUAAUUAAUUUUUUCCAGCCAAUUGAACAUUUUAAAAAAGAACUUCAACUAUAUCCUUUAAAUUAAAUUAAAUCCAAAUGCUUCAACUAUUACAGUGAUAGUUGCACAAUAACAUAAAACUGAGAAAGUAUAUAUUUCAUAAUUAAAUCACGUCACCACAUUGAUAUGAAAUAUUUUGGUUUCCUAUUGAAGGAUAAAUAAUUAUCCAUUCAGAAAGUUCCUUGUUCUUUUUAGUGUAACUUGUUUAUAUCAUAUAAAAAUAUUUUAGCAAAAGCUG
Molecule: long non-coding RNA, 1612 nt
Organism: Poecilia reticulata (guppy)
Lineage: Eukaryota; Metazoa; Chordata; Actinopteri; Cyprinodontiformes; Poeciliidae
Source: RefSeq, a predicted model, not a curated record